RNAcentral lists this ribosomal RNA (416 nucleotides) under Amblyomma maculatum (Gulf Coast tick). RNAcentral describes it as "partial 16S ribosomal RNA". The stretch from base 276 to 416 matches the Rfam family "Bacterial large subunit ribosomal RNA", at positions 2473 to 2614 of the family's 2925-position model. The record is from RNAcentral. Lineage: Eukaryota; Metazoa; Arthropoda; Arachnida; Ixodida; Ixodidae.
ACUAUACAAAGGUAUUGAAAUAAGACUUUAAUUGAGUGCUAAGAGAAUGGAAUUUCAUAAAAUUUCUUUUUUAAUUUUAAAAAUUGAAAUUAAUUUUAUAUGUGAAGAAACAAUAAUAAAAAUUAAGGACAAGAAGACCCUAAGAAUUUUAAAAAUUUCAAUAUAAUAUAAUAUUAUAUUGAAAUUUUUUAAUUGGGGCGAUUAUUAAAUAUUAAAAACUUUAAUUUUUUUAAAAAAGAACCAAUAUUAUUGGUUAUUUGAGAAAAUACUCUAGGGAUAACAGCGUAAUAAUUUUUGAUAGUUCUUAUAGACAAAAUAGUUUGCGACCUCGAUGUUGGAUUAGGAUUCUUUCUUAAUGAAGAAGUUUAAAAAAGAAGUGUGUUCAACUUUUAAAAUCCUACUUGAUCUGAGUUCAG